GAAGCUGGAUUCGCUAGUAAUCGCGCAUCAGCCAUGGCGCGGUGAAUACGUUCCCGGGCCUUGUACACACCGCCCGUCAAGCCAUGGGAGCCGGGGGUGCUUGAAGUGCGUCGCCGCAAGGCGCGCCCUAGAGCAAAACCGGUGACUGGGGCUAAGUCGUAACAAGGUACC
This 171-nucleotide ribosomal RNA is filed under the name uncultured bacterium. Its description in RNAcentral is "partial 16S ribosomal RNA". It matches the Rfam family "Bacterial small subunit ribosomal RNA", at positions 1322 to 1500 of the family's 1533-position model. The record is from RNAcentral.